CUGCAGGCCUCCAGCGGGUUCCCGCCUUCGCCGCCAGGUUCCAGAGGGUCCCCACCUUCGCCGCCAGGUUCCAGAGGGUCGCCGCCUUCGUCUUCACCUCAAGCCUCCAGAGGGUCCCAGCCUUCGUCUUCGGCGCCGGCCUCCUAUGACUCUCUGUCCCCCCUCUGCCAGUCAUCCCAUCGCUGGCUCCCUGUCCGGCUGCUGUAAUAUAAAUAUGUAGUGAAGAUAAACAUGUAUGUAAUGUAGGAAACAAUAAUGUAUUCAUGAGGUUAAAAAAACACUUUUGCCCAACCUUACCUGUACAAAUUGUUUUGACUCUGGUUAAGGACAUACUGUACUGCUGAUCUGAAUGUACUGAAUGUACUACUGUGUCACAAGCACCAGGAUCAACUUACAUAAUAGUGAAUAUGAUAUGUUUUGAGAAGUGACAGGUGGUAUUGUCAGUGCGGGUGAGAACAAUACAGGUGUACUGACGUUUUUGAUCAGGCUUUUCCAAAAGCCGUCUCACCAAUUGGACAUGAAUGCAAAGUGUCUAGGCAAUCUUGAUACUCAGGAUUUAAAUGAAAAUAUCAGUGUUUGUUUUACAGGUGUGUGUGUUGGCAAAUAGGACUAUUUAGGUUUCGGUGCAGUCUGUGUAUGUGCUGUUAGGCUUCGACCGUGACGCAUACCUGUCAGGACUCCCUAAAGACUUGGUAUUUCAGCCGGGGGUGUUGCUCUGUUUUGUGUCUGUUGGAAGCUCUCCUUUCCAGUGUUCACUCACUCACUCACUCCCUACAGUACUGGCUUUACAGAUUCCUCCCACCUAUUUUUUGGAUUUGUUUUGAUUAUUUUGUUGUGAAUAAAUUACUUUAUUAUUUAGUAUA
Long non-coding RNA from Siniperca chuatsi (mandarin fish), 863 nucleotides. RefSeq lists it as uncharacterized. The transcript has 2 exons. NCBI's taxonomy places the organism in Eukaryota, Metazoa, Chordata, Actinopteri, Centrarchiformes, Sinipercidae. The record is from RefSeq and is a predicted model, not a curated record.